This 68-nucleotide transfer RNA is filed under the name Ictidomys tridecemlineatus (thirteen-lined ground squirrel). Its description in RNAcentral is "Spermophilus tridecemlineatus (thirteen-lined ground squirrel) tRNA". It matches the Rfam family "tRNA". Rfam says of the family: Transfer RNA (tRNA) molecules are approximately 80 nucleotides in length. Their secondary structure includes four short double-helical elements and three loops (D, anti-codon, and T loops). Further hydrogen bonds mediate the characteristic L-shaped molecular structure. tRNAs have two regions of fundamental functional importance: the anti-codon, which is responsible for specific mRNA codon recognition, and the 3' end, to which the tRNAs corresponding amino acid is attached (by aminoacyl-tRNA synthetases). tRNAs cope with the degeneracy of the genetic code in two manners: having more than one tRNA (with a specific anti-codon) for a particular amino acid; and 'wobble' base-pairing, i.e. permitting non-standard base-pairing at the 3rd anti-codon position. Lineage: Eukaryota; Metazoa; Chordata; Mammalia; Rodentia; Sciuridae. The record is from Rfam by way of RNAcentral.
GGAGUUGUGCUCAGUGGUAGAGUACUUGUCUGGCAUACACGAGGUACUGGGUUCGAUUCUCAGCACCA